Molecule: long non-coding RNA, 3359 nt
Organism: Rosa chinensis
Lineage: Eukaryota; Viridiplantae; Streptophyta; Magnoliopsida; Rosales; Rosaceae
Exons: 3
Source: RefSeq, a predicted model, not a curated record
UGCUUUUCCAAUAUUUUGCUCAUUACCCUUGCCACCUGUUGAUCUGUUGAGCCGCCACCUAAUUACUUUGAGCGAUGGCGGGUCGUCCUUUCUCUGCCGCGCAGAAGAGAUAGGAGCUGAAAGAGACGCUGAAGAGGUGGAUUGAUAGAGGUGUAUUCGUUUUGCCCACGUACAGUAGCUUUUUUUUUUCAAAGAAUUUCUUCAAAGUCAUUCUCAAUCUGUGCAUGUCACUGAUUUUGGGUUUGAGUAAUGCAGGCGUUGUUGAGAUUGUUAUUCAUUUUGAAGCUUAUGGAUUUUCAGGGGGGAUGAGCAUGGUAUCAAAAGAAAUUGACUGGGGAAUGUGCAACCAAUAAUUUUCCUUAAUCUGUUUCAGUUUUUGCUAAAUUCUGUCAUUUCCAGUGUAUGACUGUUAGUGAAUGCGAAAGUAGUUAAGAUUGUUUAGAUUUUAGGUCGUAUUAUAGGAAAUUAGGAAUGUGUUUUCAGAGCCUAAGAUAGCUCCUUAUGUGAGUGAACAGAUUUUUUUUGGGGGGGGGGGGGACAAAUUCUUUCUGAUGUAAUAGGAAAGCCUAUUUUCAAAAUGGAUUUGAUUUUUUCAGUGUGUGGCUAGACUCAAAGCUUAUGUGUUUGAUAUAUGGGAGAUCCCACAUGCGCGAUUAUAUGACUGUUCAUCAACUUAUAGUCUUGUUGUUCUUCAGAUUGUGUUUUUCUUUCAUUUCUGACAUACAUAAUACAUAGCUUUCCCAUUAUUGUUUAGAUUAUAGGAGAUGUUAAAGCAAUAGUAGGUUUAGUUAACUCAGCGAAUGCUUCAGAGUUCUGAUGGUGUACAGGGUUUGCUCAAUACAUAGUAUGAACGUGUUUGCUUUAACUACUAAAGCUUCAAGAUAUAGAUAGAAACAAAAUUUGAUUGCUUAUCUAUAACUAUCAACUAUGUUUAUCUUCCACUCUUUUAAUUUCACUUUUGAACAGAACCUCUCUUCUAUUUUUUCCCCUUUUGCAUGUGCGCAGUUGCAACUGCUAUGUUAUAUAUACAUAUGUGUGUGUAUCUAUAUAUAUAUGAAUAGCAGAGCUCUGCACAAAGCCAUUGGGUGCGGUCUUGGUUUCAGGUACUUUGAUUAGCAAUGGUACUUCGAAUCUAUGACAACUCCAAUAACAAAUAACCAUGACCCUUUUGCAUUUUCUUGAACCUGUGAUCAGUUCCUCUUAUUCUGUUUAUGUUUAUACUUAAAAUAACUGCUUACCAAAAAUGACUUCUCUGUUGCUGUUUCGUGGUCCAAAAUUCAAGUAUAUUAAUCUAUUUGAACAGCUCUAGAGUCUCAAUUUUAGCUGCAUGAGUUCAAUUUGAAUAGCAUUCUCCAUUCACAACCUGCUGAUUGUUUUUACAAACACAGAUUGCAAUGCUACUCAUUUGUAUUUUAUGAAUUUUUGUGUGCAUCUUUUCUCUUUGGCCAGGAACUUGAACUUUUAAUUGAGAAUCUCUUGGGUUGUGAGAUAAAAAAAAAAAAAGAUUUUUCUUUUUGUAAGUGUAUACCAUGAUUCUUCUGUCUAUCUCUGAUUCAUUGCUUUUGAUUAUGGGAAAUGGGUAUUUGGUGAAUUGUUUUUUGGUUACAGUUAGAAAUCAGGUAUUGAGAUUCCUGGGCUUUGUUGUCUUUAUUCACUGUGGCCUUUGGGUUCUAGCUCAACUCUUAAAAGGUUUUUCAAAUUAAUGCUGCAGUGAUGCAUGUUUGAUAUAAUAAAUCCCUGUAUUGAUUCUGAGGGUUCUUAUUGCAGGUUUCAUUUGCGGUAGUUGUAAUUAUUUCUUAUAUCAAUGCUGUGAUUUGGUGUUGAAGCAUCUUUCAGUCAUGCAAAAACAAAGGCUGAGGAACUUACAGUGGAGGUGAUACUUUAAACCGUGAAAAUAGGGUGUUACUUGAUCAUUGGACGUUGGAAAAGAUGAGGGAUGCUGAACGCCUCAAUGAGGUACUUUGUAUCAGUGUUAUAAACUGAAAUUGUGUGUUUGAUAGCAGUAGGUUUUUGCUGCUUAAGGUUUGAUAUAUAUUAACCUUAGUUGAUGGUUCUUGAUACCUCCGAAUUUUUGUAUUGGAUGACUAUGCCAAUCUAUGCUUUAUUGCAUACGUAAUCGUGCCGUUAUAAAUUUGAGCAUCGCAAAUGAAUAACAGUGCUUUACUUUGUAGGCAUGGGAUUUGACCUUUUUUCACCAGUGUUUAUAAUUAUUUGACAUAAAGCCUCUAGAAACCAAACCUAAGUGUAUCAAAGUGGUUAUUGAACCUUUCAAAAAAAAAAAAAGUGGUUAUUGAAAAAGGCCCUUACUGUCAUUGUUUCUCAUAACAUGGGACAUCUUGGAGUUCUAAUUUCUCAAUUAAAACACAUAUGUUUUUUUCUUUAAGUUUAUAUUGUUUUUAAAUAUGCCCUAUUUUGAAUAAAUUUCGGGAUGAAAUGAAGCAGCAAGCUAAGAUUGAGAUAUAUAAAAUGUAGCAAAUUUCCUGCUCUUUGUAACCAGUGGUAAGGCAUUAUCAAUUUUUGCUAACUAGAACGAUUUUGAAAAUAGUUAGAUUCUUUCUUACAACAGUUGAUGAGAUAAUAGAGAGAUAGCAUUGGUUGAGCGAAGACUAUCUUUUAGUUUUGAGCAACUAGGAAUGAGUACAUUUGGCUGGCAACAAUCAACAUAUUGUGUUGGACAUGCAAAGUUGUGUCCACAUUGUUCAUAAUGAAUUACUGUUUGUCAGCUCUGUUUUUGUUCUUUGUAUAUCUCCAGAUUCUGUACUAAUUAUGCUUGCUCGUCCAAGGUGACAUUGUCUUUGCAUCUGUUAUGGCAACUCUUGGACUGCAAAUAUUGCUCGAGUCUGCUUGAGAACUGAUCUCAAAGUCCCGACCAGAAAUGGAUGAUGGACAGGAGAAGUGGAUGAUCGCUAUCAUGGUCUCUGUCACAGUAGUGAAGUUUCUCCACAUGGUCUACUGUCAAAGAUUUAAAAAUGACAUUGUACGGGCAGGGUGAAUUUCAUUGAACCUUGAAGAUAACAGUAUUGACAAGGCAGGGUGAAUUAGUAGCUGGGCUAAAAUGUUGUCUGUUGAAAAAUUGGGAAAAAACCAAAAGAAUGCGAAAAGAGUCCACAUACUCUUUCGAUAAAUGAUCGCGUCAAUGAGCAUCUCUAAAAGGCAAAAUUUAAGUACUUUGGCUAAUUGUUGUAGUUAAACAUAUAUCAUACCCGCAACAUCGCGCUGGGGUUGAUGCCUAGUUACCAAUUAUCUUCUACAAGACUAUUUUGUCCACAGCAACUGUGACCAGAAAGAGUGGUGUGGGGGUAAAGAUCUUCCGUAGUUCCCUCCAAAUUUUCAUCAAAUUGUCUCACUGGUAUGUGCAC